GAUGAACGCUGGCGGCGUGCCUAAUACAUGCAAGUCGAGCGAACAGACGAGGAGCUUGCUCCUCUGGCGUUAGCGGCGGACGGGUGAGUAACACGUGGAUAACCUACCUAUAAGACUGGGAUAACUUCGGGAAACCGGAGCUAAUACCGGAUAAUAUAUUGAACCGCAUGGUUCAAUAGUGAAAGACGGUUUUGCUGUCACUUAUAGAUGGAUCCGCGCCGCAUUAGCUAGUUGGUAAGGUAACGGCUUACCAAGGCAACGAUGCGUAGCCGACCUGAGAGGGUGAUCGGUCACACUGGAACUGAGACACGGUCCAGACUCCUACGGGAGGCAGCAGUAGGGAAUCUUCCGCAAUGGGCGAAAGCCUGACGGAGCAACGCCGCGUGAGUGAUGAAGGUCUUCGGAUCGUAAAACUCUGUUAUUAGGGAAGAACAAAUGUGUAAGUAACUAUGCACGUCUUGACGGUACCUAAUCAGAAAGCCACGGCUAACUACGUG
This 497-nucleotide ribosomal RNA is filed under the name uncultured bacterium. RNAcentral describes it as "partial 16S ribosomal RNA". It matches the Rfam family "Bacterial small subunit ribosomal RNA", at positions 28 to 507 of the family's 1533-position model. The record is from RNAcentral.